RNAcentral lists this ribosomal RNA (460 nucleotides) under uncultured bacterium. RNAcentral's name for it is "bacterial SSU rRNA". It matches the Rfam family "Bacterial small subunit ribosomal RNA", at positions 338 to 795 of the family's 1533-position model. The record is from RNAcentral.
CCUACGGGUGGCAGCAGUGAGGAAUAUUGGUCAAUGGACGCAAGUCUGAACCAGCCAUGCCGCGUGGAGGAUGAAGGUCCUCUGGAUUGUAAACUCCUUUUAUAAAAGAAGAAACCCCGGUAUUCUUACCGGGUUGACGGUACUUUAUGAAUAAGCACCGGCUAACUCCGUGCCAGCAGCCGCGGUAAUACGGAGGGUGCAAGCGUUAUCCGGAUUCACUGGGUUUAAAGGGAGCGUAGGUGGGUUGAUAAGUCAGUGGUGAAAUCCCCAAGCUUAACUUGGGAACUGCCAUUGAUACUAUCGAUCUUGAAUACUGUGGAGGUAAGCGGAAUAUGUCAUGUAGCGGUGAAAUGCUUAGAUAUGACAUAGAACACCGAUAGCGAAGGCAGCUUACUACGCAGUGAUUGACACUGAGGCUCGAAAGCGUGGGGAUCAAACAGGAUUAGAUACCCCUGUAGUC